AUUCAUUGAACCCAAGGCCAAUCAUGUCUCCUAUCAUCUUUCUAGCCUGAAGGAUUUUGUCUAAGGUGUCAAAUCCACUGUUUAGCAUUCUGACAGACUUAGUCAUCUCAACCAGUUUGGAAUUUAGAAACACAGCUUCAAUCUUCAAAUUAGAAAUGGUUUCUAAGUGUUCUGUCUUCUCAGCCUCUAGUUGGGUUAUUAGUUUCUUUUGCUUCUCCAUUUGUUGACACACUUCUUCACUUUUCAAAC
RNAcentral lists this long non-coding RNA (249 nucleotides) under Lathyrus oleraceus (garden pea). RNAcentral describes it as "Pisum sativum (pea) long non-coding RNA (PSAT_LNC012426)". Lineage: Eukaryota; Viridiplantae; Streptophyta; Magnoliopsida; Fabales; Fabaceae. The record is from RNAcentral.